This 253-nucleotide ribosomal RNA is filed under the name uncultured bacterium. RNAcentral's name for it is "partial 16S ribosomal RNA". It matches the Rfam family "Bacterial small subunit ribosomal RNA", at positions 524 to 776 of the family's 1533-position model. The record is from RNAcentral.
UACGUAGGUGACCAGCGUUGUCCGGAUUUACUGGGCGUAAAGAGCGCGCAGGCGGUCGGUCAAGUCGAGUGUGAAAGCCCCCGGCUCAACUGGGGAGGGGCACUUGAUACUGAUCGACUCGAAGGCAGGAGAGGGAAGCGGAAUUCCCGGUGUAGUGGUGAAAUGCGUAGAUAUCGGGAGGAACACCAGUGGCGAAGGCGGCUUCCUGGCCUGUUCUUGACGCUGAGGCGCGAAAGCUAGGGGAGCAAACGGG